RNAcentral lists this ribosomal RNA (497 nucleotides) under uncultured bacterium. Its description in RNAcentral is "partial 16S ribosomal RNA". It matches the Rfam family "Bacterial small subunit ribosomal RNA", at positions 28 to 507 of the family's 1533-position model. The record is from RNAcentral.
GAUGAACGCUGGCGGCGUGCCUAAUACAUGCAAGUCGAGCGAACAGACGAGGAGCUUGCUCCUCUGACGUUAGCGGCGGACGGGUGAGUAACACGUGGAUAACCUACCUAUAAGACUGGGAUAACUUCGGGAAACCGGCGCUAAUACCGGAUAAUAUAUUGAACCGCAUGGUUCAAUAGUGAAAGACGGUUUUGCUGUCACUUAUAGAUGGAUCCGCGCCGCAUUAGCUAGUUGGUAAGGUAACGGCUUACCAAGGCAACGAUGCGUAGCCGACCUGAGAGGGUGAUCGGCCACACUGGAACUGAGACACGGUCCAGACUCCUACGGGAGGCAGCAGUAGGGAGUCUAUCGCAAUGGGCGAGAGCCUGACGGAGCGACGCCGCGUGAGGGAUGAAGGCCUUCGGAUCGUAAAACUCUGUUAUGAGGAGAGAACGAAUGUGUAAGUAGCUAGGAGCGUCUUGACGGUACCUAAUCAGAAAGCCACGGCUAACUACGUG